Molecule: ribosomal RNA, 253 nt
Filed under: uncultured bacterium
Lineage: Bacteria
Description: partial 16S ribosomal RNA
Rfam family: Bacterial small subunit ribosomal RNA
Source: RNAcentral
UACGGAGGGUGCAAGCGUUAUCCGGAUUCACUGGGCUUAAAGGGUGCGUAGGCGGGCAGGUAAGUCAGUGGUGAAAUCUCCGGGCUUAACCCGGAAACUGCCAUUGAUACUAUUUGUCUUGAAUACUGUGGAGGUCAGCGGAAUAUGUCAUGUAGCGGUGAAAUGCUUAGAUAUGACAUAGAACACCAAUUGCGAAGGCAGCUGGCUACACAAAUAUUGACACUGAGGCACGAAAGCGUGGGGAUCAAACAGG